UACAGAGGGGGCAAGCGUUGUUCGGAAUUACUGGGCGUAAAGCGCGCGUAGGCGGUUUGAUAAGCGGAGUGUGAAAUCCCCGGGCUUAACCUGGGAACUGCAUUCCGAACUGUCGAGCUAGAGUAUGAGAGAGGGUGGCGGAAUUCCGAGUGUAGCGGUGAAAUGCGUAGAUAUUCGGAGGAACACCAGUGGCGAAGGCGGCCACCUGGAUCAAUACUGACGCUGAGGCGCGAAAGCGUGGGUAGCAAACAGG
Molecule: ribosomal RNA, 253 nt
Filed under: uncultured bacterium
Lineage: Bacteria
Description: partial 16S ribosomal RNA
Rfam family: Bacterial small subunit ribosomal RNA
Source: RNAcentral